This 468-nucleotide ribosomal RNA is filed under the name uncultured bacterium. RNAcentral describes it as "partial 16S ribosomal RNA". It matches the Rfam family "Bacterial small subunit ribosomal RNA", at positions 29 to 507 of the family's 1533-position model. The record is from RNAcentral.
ACGAACGCUGGCGGCGUGCUUAACCCAUGCAAGUCGCACGGAAAGGCCCUGCUUGCAGGGUGCUCGAGUGGCGAACGGGUGAGUAACACGUGGGUGAUCUGCCCCUUACUUUGGGAUAAGCCUGGGAAACUGGGUCUAAUACUGGAUAGGACCAUGCUGUAGGUGGUGUGGUGGAAAGAUUAGUUUCGGUAAGGGAUGAGCUCGCGGCCUAUCAGCUUGUUGGUGGGGUAAUGGCCUACCAAGGCGUCGACGGGUAGCCGGCCUGAGAGGGUGGACGGCCACAUUGGGACUGAGAUACGGCCCAGACUCCUACGGGAGGCAGCAGUGGGGAAUAUUGCACAAUGGGCGCAAGCCGGAUGCAGCGACGCCGCGUGGGGGAUGACGGCCUUCGGGUUGUAAACUCCUUUCAGCCAUGACGAAGCCCUUGUGGUGACGGUAGUGGUAGAAGAAGCACCGGCUAACUACGUG